UACAGAGGUCUCAAGCGUUGUUCGGAUUCAUUGGGCGUAAAGGGUGCGUAGGCGGUAGGGUAAGUCUGGUGUGAAAUCCUGGAGCUUAACUUCAGAAAUGCACUGGAUACUGCUUUGCUAGAGGACUGGAGAGGAGAUUGGAAUUCACGGUGUAGCAGUGAAAUGCGUAGAUAUCGUGAGGAAGACCAGUGGCGUAAGCGAAUCUCUGGACAGUUCCUGACGCUGAGGCACGAAGGCUAGGGGAGCAAACGGG
Molecule: ribosomal RNA, 253 nt
Filed under: uncultured bacterium
Lineage: Bacteria
Description: partial 16S ribosomal RNA
Rfam family: Bacterial small subunit ribosomal RNA
Source: RNAcentral